GAUGAACGCUGGCGGCGUGCCUAAUACAUGCAAGUCGAGCGAACAGACGAGGAGCUUGCUCCUCUGACGUUAGCGGCGGACGGGUGAGUAACACGUGGAUAACCUACCUAUAAGACUGGGAUAACUUCGGGAAACCGGAUCUAAUACCGGAUAAUAUAUUGAACCGCAUGGUUCAAUAGUGAAAGACGGUUUUGCUGUCACUUAUAGAUGGAUCCGCGCCGCAUUAGCUAGUUGGUAAGGUAACGGCUUACCAAGGCAACGAUGCGUAGCCGACCUGAGAGGGUGAUCGGCCACACUGGAACUGAGACACGGUCAAGACUCCUACGGGAGGCAGCAGUAGGGAAUCUUCCGCAAUGGGCGAAAGCUUGACGGAGCAACGCCGCGUGAGUGAUGAAGGUCUUCGGAUCGUAAAACUCUGUUAUUAGGGAAGAACAAAUGUGUAAGUAACUAUGCACGUCUUGACGGUACCUAAUCAGAAAGCCACGGCUAACUACGUG
This 497-nucleotide ribosomal RNA is filed under the name uncultured bacterium. RNAcentral's name for it is "partial 16S ribosomal RNA". It matches the Rfam family "Bacterial small subunit ribosomal RNA", at positions 28 to 507 of the family's 1533-position model. The record is from RNAcentral.